Phyllostomus discolor (pale spear-nosed bat) is the source of this 3776-nucleotide RNA transcript. It is a transcript of the gene named paraspeckle component 1, with no coding region annotated. Lineage: Eukaryota; Metazoa; Chordata; Mammalia; Chiroptera; Phyllostomidae. The record is from RefSeq and is a predicted model, not a curated record. The transcript has 9 exons.
GGCAGCGCCAUUUUGAAUGUGUAGUGGCUGCGGGCUUGGGGAAGGUCGGGUAGCGCUGCUGGCUUGACCAUCUCGUGGUUUUGUUUGGCUUUCUCCUUUUCCAGUACCAUCUCCAUACGGAGGCACGGAGCCGCAGACAUAUCUGUAGGGUUGGCUGCGGGCCCGAGGCGAAGCCCUCCGAUGAUGUUGAGGGGAAACCUGAAGCAAGUCAGAAUUGAGAAAAACCCAGCCCGCCUGCGCGCUCUUGAAUCGGCGGCAGGGGAGAGUGAGCCGACGGCCGCCAUGGCGCUCGUGCUGGCUGGGGAGACCGCGCCACCCACUCCUGCUCCCGCGGAGGAGCGCCCGGACGAGGAGGUGGGCUUCACCAUCGAUAUCAAGAGCUUCCUCAAGCCGGGCGAGAAGACGUACACGCAGCGCUGCCGCCUCUUCGUGGGCAAUCUGCCUACUGAUAUCACAGAGGAGGACUUCAAGCGGCUCUUCGAGCGUUAUGGUGAGCCUAGUGAGGUCUUCAUCAACCGCGACCGCGGCUUCGGCUUCAUCCGCCUGGAAUCCAGAACGCUGGCUGAAAUUGCAAAAGCAGAGCUUGAUGGCACCAUUUUGAAGAGCAGACCUCUCCGGAUUCGUUUUGCUACACAUGGAGCAGCCCUAACUGUCAAGAACCUUUCUCCAGUUGUUUCCAAUGAGCUGCUAGAGCAAGCAUUUUCCCAGUUUGGUCCAGUAGAGAAAGCCGUCGUGGUUGUGGAUGAUCGCGGUAGAGCUACAGGAAAAGGUUUUGUAGAAUUUGCAGCAAAACCUCCUGCACGAAAGGCUCUGGAAAGAUGUGGUGAUGGGGCGUUCUUGCUAACAACGACCCCACGGCCAGUCAUUGUGGAGCCAAUGGAGCAAUUUGAUGAUGAAGAUGGCUUGCCAGAGAAGCUAAUGCAGAAAACUCAACAAUAUCAUAAGGAAAGAGAACAACCACCACGUUUUGCUCAGCCUGGGACGUUUGAAUUUGAGUAUGCAUCUCGAUGGAAGGCUCUUGAUGAAAUGGAGAAGCAGCAGCGUGAGCAGGUUGACAGAAACAUCAGAGAAGCCAAAGAGAAGCUGGAGGCAGAAAUGGAAGCAGCCAGGCAUGAGCACCAGUUAAUGCUGAUGAGGCAAGAUCUCAUGAGGCGUCAAGAAGAACUGAGACGCCUGGAAGAACUCAGGAACCAGGAGCUGCAAAAACGAAAGCAAAUACAACUGAGACAUGAAGAAGAGCAUCGUCGUCGUGAGGAAGAAAUGAUUCGACACAGAGAACAGGAGGAACUGAGGCGACAGCAAGAAGGCUUUAAGCCAAAUUAUAUGGAAAAUGAGGAUAAAAACAUGGAUAAAGCUACCUGAAAUUUGACGUCCAGCACAGAUCAAGUUUAGAGAUGAGGAUGUACUGGAGUUGUUUCCUUUCAGGUGUGGCCUCAGACCAGGAGUGUGAGCAUACUUGAGUUUCUCAGAAGUGCUGAAUCCCAGGACACACAGUAGAUUGAGUCAGACUGCCUGUUUCGACAAGACUCAGAGGAUUGGCAUGAGACUAAGGACCACUGAUAUAAAACUGAAGCAAAAAGCUGUGAACUAACUGCUUUUCAGGGAAUCAGGCCACAGUGUAAUGCCUCCCAUUUGUGAUGACUGGCUUAGUCGUGAGCUCGCUUAUGUCCAAGAAGAUUAAGUUCAGGUAUGUGUUCUGUGUCAUACAUAUUUUAUACAAGGAUAUUGCUUUGAUUUUCAGAGAAAUCACUAUCCACACUUUGUACAUAUAAGAAACCAAAACUUUCAGCACUUUCCACUCAGGGACAAGUACUUCACCUGCUAUAGAGAAGCUUUAGUUCUGAGCAAAACAACUGUAUUAAAAUUGUGUGACUCAUAUUCCUAAUACACACUGUUCACAGUUUACUAGCAUACCUGUCACAAGGCAGGUAGAAGCUGACACAGACAAGGUUUUACUGAUUUUAAACCUGUAUGUUCCCUGUUUGUCAAAAUAACUCGCCCAUUUUCACAUUCUGCCCUUGCUGACUUCACAGAGCUUUAUUUCUCUGCCUUAUCUCCUAAAGGAAUUGUGCUCAGAUUCUCUAUUUUUCUACCAUCCUAGAUAGCCAUGCCUCCUGACAAAUAGUGUAUGCUCACUUAAUAUGUUCUUGUAAGGUUGUAGGAUUAUCUUAGGGUAGGAUUUGGACAUAAUGGAAAUUUUCUUAAAAAGCCCAUUUCUCUUAUAUGUGUUCCUUUUCUGUGCACUGUUGCUAACCCAAAUCUCAUUAACUGUUUUCUAGAAAGCUAUGAAUUUGUAUACAGUACUAGUACAAAAUUCAAUCUAGUUGAAGGAGUCCAACGCCAGCCACCAUUUAGCUGAAAAUCUAUAAUACACACUGCAUCUCAAAACAAGGUGGGUACCAAAAGAAAAUGGAAAGACCAACACUGUGGUGUUUUCUUGAGGAAACUGUCAAGAAGGGCAGUUUUAGUAUGUAAAGUAAAAAUGGCUAAUUUGUAAACAACGAUGGGUCUAAUACAUGAUAUUCUGAAACGUUUUCAUUAAAAUUAGAACUCAUAAAACUAACCAAGAAAUAAAUUUUAUGCCUUUCCAUAGUCCAUACUGAGUUUCAUUUAUUACUUUGCCAAAUAUUUCUUAAAAGAAUGCAAAAGUCAGACCUAUGGAAAAGUCCGUAGGAACAAUAACCCCACAUGAGCCUCACUGGCAUAGCUCAGCUGACUAUCCCAGUGUUCAAAAUAAGGAUAUUCCCUUUUGGGCCACUAAAAGGGAAUAUCUUUACUUUGUUUUGGUGGACACUUUCUUCUAUUUCUUACUUUCUUUUUCUCUUCAAAUAAGGGAUAACUGGAAACAUACAAAGUUGUCACCUCCAACUUGGAACAUGUGGCAAAUUAAAAAUAGAUCAGACCUCUUCCCUCAAACUUCAAGGGUGGCAAAUUCAUGCUUGGGGACACAGAUUCACCUAGGGUAGUAGAAAAUUUCAAGCUAAAAAUUUUCUUGACCCUCUAUGUACUAUUCCACGUUGUGGAAAACUGAAAUACGCAGUUUGGACACAACACUGAUUAUUGAAAACUGGCACAAAGGACGUACAUUUCUGUAUUUUAUGAUGUAUAGAACACACUAUAGAACACACUAUUCUUAAGAGACUUAAACUGCAUGAGGUUUACAGAUGAAACUUUAAAUCUGGAAGUGUUAGCAGUGCCAAGAAUUCCAAACUGCUUGUAACAAUAUUUAGCAAUGCACAGGUUUGAAAGCCAGUCCAUCCUGAUUCAUUGUUUGGUCAUUGUAGCUGCACUCUGUACGCACCUAUUAGCAGUUUUACCUAUAAAAAGAAAACAAGGCAUAGGGAUCAGCACAAACAUAGGUCCCCUUAUACUUCCAAAUUAAGUAGUUAUCAAUCAGGUAUUUCAAUGUUUUAAUUAAAAUAGUCAUGAUCUAAAUGCUUACAAUUUGAACUUUUGUUAUAAAUACCAAAGCCUAGAAGAGAACCCAGACUGCUCGACACUAUAGAGAUGUAGUACACAGGUAUGUGUACAUAUAUCCGUCAUGUUUUAGAUUCAGAAAGGGGCAUGUCGCACGGACUGCUACCUGAGGGAGCACUGGUCUCUAGGAGAGGUAUACCAGGAAACCACAUGAGAGAGUCAUUUAGAAAAACAAUUCAAGUAGGAAUACUGAAUAUGGGGAAAGGCUUCUCACCUUAGCAGUGGGUGCUUCUGUUAACCUUAUGAAGAGUUUAUUGAGGCCUGCAACAGGGCUGAAUGAGUAAACAAAAUGACUAUCC